RNAcentral lists this ribosomal RNA (254 nucleotides) under uncultured bacterium. Its description in RNAcentral is "partial 16S ribosomal RNA". It matches the Rfam family "Bacterial small subunit ribosomal RNA", at positions 524 to 776 of the family's 1533-position model. The record is from RNAcentral.
UACGGAGGAUCCAAGCGUUAUCCGGAAUUACUGGGCGUAAAGAGUUGCGUAGGUGGCAUAGUAAGCGAAUAGUGAAAGCGUGUGGCUCAACCAUACAUCCAUUAUUUGAACUGCUAAGCUCGAAGAUGAGAGAGGUUAUUGGAAUUCCCAGUGUAGGAGUGAAAUCCGUAGAUAUUGGGAGGAACACCGAUGGCGUAGGCAGGUAACUGGCUCAUUCUUGACACUAAGGCACGAAAGCGUGGGGAGCAAACGGG